Alligator mississippiensis (American alligator) is the source of this 9469-nucleotide long non-coding RNA. RefSeq lists it as uncharacterized. The transcript is spliced from 6 exons. Lineage: Eukaryota; Metazoa; Chordata; Crocodylia; Alligatoridae. The record is from RefSeq and is a predicted model, not a curated record.
GGGCGGGGCGAGGGGCGGAGGGACUAGGGCCGCCCAGCAGUCGCCUCAGGGCGGGUGUAAGAGGCGGAGUGUGUCGGUUUUGCUCCGUUCCUUGCAUCCUGCACUGGUGUGGGGUGACAACUGCGGCUUCGUGCAAUAGCCCUCCCGGCUGGACACGCCUGGGAGUUGGAGCGGGUGCCUCGAGGUAGCAGGCAGCUCGUGAUCGCUGCGAUGCUGGGGCGCGUGGAGUGUCCCACGGGAGUUGGGCCCCCACGUGCUCAACAGUGAACCCGGAAGUGGGCCAGAAGCCCCCCCGCAUCCUCCCCGACUCGGCAAUCGGCCAUGGGAGGCCCCUGGGUGCACGCCGUGGGGGCGUGGGGGGGCCCCAGCACACUCCCCAGCAGGACCGGAAGUGAACCAGAAGCACUUCUGGUCCACUUCUGAGUGUGCUGGGGAGCCCCCCACGCUCCUGUAGGACGCCCCAGCAUCACAGCGUUCACGAGCCACCUGCCACCUACACCUUUUUGGCUCAGGUCAAGUGCCUCAACCUCUUGUGGACUAAGAUCAAAUGGGGACAUCUGAAUCCCAGGAUCUCUGGGCUUGGGCCUGCGCGUAGGAUGCCUGCCCAUGGAUUUGAGAGUAUCUGAAGUCCUGGGAAAAUGGCAACGUCCCCCAACAACAGUUUCACUGAUGAAAAGAGGGAUUCAGCCAAGGAUCAGGCUGAUGAACAUUUCAGACUAGUUCAAGCCAGGCUGCAUCUACCUCCUGGGAGAAAAGAACACAAGCCUUGGGUCUCUGCUCCAGUUGUUUGCUCUAUGAAGAGAGGAUUUCUCAAGCACACCGAUCAAAAAGGGGGAAAACACUUUCCCAUCUCCUGUGCUGGACUGGCUGGAUGAUGCACCCUGGUGCUGUGUCAACAGAAGCAAAGUACAAUAUGUUCCUGAAAGACAGAAAAAAAUGCACUUCCUCUCUGGUCUGACAGGUCUGCUAAUUUUCCCUUGCAAAUCCACUUUGACCUUCAUCACUCUGAUAUGAGGGCUAUGUCUACAAGGAGAUCCAGCAACUGAUGGCCAUAUGUUAGUUAGCUUUGGACCAGCUCUUGCAGACACUGGGAGCAGUCUGCCUAUAGCAGCUCUGUGCAGUCAGGAAAGCAGUACUUUGCUGCUGGAGCAUGUGUUGCAGCAGUUGCUUUGCUGUUGGUGCUAGUGCAGAGCUAACCCAGGUACGAUUUGCCAAGCUGCAGUGUAGAUGCCUCCUUGGCAAUCAUGAGACCACUGUUAAGGAACAAGCCCUCACCCAGCCCACUUGCUCCCAGUCUGUACACACUGCUUGCUGUGUUGGUGCAGCACCAGGAGCGCUCUCAGGAGUGCCUCAGUGGGGCUGCGUGUCCCUGGCAUUCCUGGAGCAGCAACCACAUAGCUUGAUUUCAGCGUUUGGAGUGUGCAGUAUAGGAGCCAAUGCAGGGCCCUGUUUUGGGGCUCUUAGUCUCUCCCCAGGAGAGACUGACUCACCCGUUUAAUUUGCAAGUCUUCAGCUUUGUUCCUUUUGUGAUAUAUCACAAAUCUUUUGGUCAAAACACAUGGCAAGUGUUGAUCAAGUGCAUCUGAUGCAUGCUGACAAGCACAACAGAAACAACAUCUUCUCAUCAACAUGAGACAGGAGAUUGGAGGUGGAAUAGGAUAUUCAGAAAAAACAAACCUGUGGGACAAAAAAAAAAAAAAGCUUUGUAGAUAGUUCUGGGAAGGAUCCAUUUAAUCACUUUUUCACGUUAAUUAGGGUUCCUCCUCUUGGUACCCUUCAAGUUAUCUUAACUUUUAUUCUUAGUUGUUUCAGUGUUAAAAAAUGUUUUACUUGUUUUCAUGAAUAAUAGCCUGCAUGUUGUUGCACAGUGGGUGAAAAUUACUCUGGUGUAGGGAGUUGAAACAGGGCCUUUGAUUCAGUAGAACAUAAGGAGUGUAUAAACUAUGGACUGGCCAUCUGAAUAAUUAAUUUAAUCUGAAGUGCAUGGAGCACAUUAAAGUUCUGUCUCAAUGUAAAUGCAGUGAGAUGGUAACAGAUUUGGCCAAUCUGUCUUUUCUACAAAAAUAAGAUUGUCCUAUAGCUGGAGUGGCUUUCGUCUGAGGAUCUUGAUAGCACCCAAAUACAGUAUAUCACUACAUCUCAUCACUAAAUUACAAUUUUGCCAUCAGCUUUUCUUUAGUCACACACUCACUAACCCAGUUGCUUAAGUCCAAAUGUAGUUUUAGUUGAGACUUAUUUUGGGUGGGCUUAUAGCUGUUACCAGUGCUUGUGAAAGUGCAGAAUUAAAACAGCAAACUGAUCCUAAACAGAAAGUGGAAUUGACUUAUUUGAGUUCAUUGUCUUACUGAGGAAAAUAAAAAGGGAACCACCAACAUAAAAACUGUAAAGGGAGCUCAAGCACUGCAGUCAUUUCCAUUUGAAUCCUCAGUGGUGUUACUGGUAGCAGAGCUGGUGACAUCUUUAAUGUCUGGUUUUUAUUUUGUCUUAUCCUCUCAUAUCAGCUCUGUCUUUCAUCACAGAAUGUGGAGCCCAAAUCACCUGAAGCUUACAGGGAAUUGAUCUAUGGUUCUCUCCCUUAUUUCCCAGACUGCGCACCUAGAUUUGAAUGUAUAUUGUGGGGUCAGCUGUGGCAAUCAGAUUGGUUUUCCAUUUCCAUCUAAAUGCAGCCAGGUUUGUGGGCAUUUUCAGCUCCUAGGGUAAUGUGUUCCAAAUCCCUGGGUCAGCUGCUGGGAUAGCCCAGUCCUGCACAUCUCUGCUGAGUUGUCAGUACAUUGCUGCUUUUGUUUCCAUGGAUGAUAGCUAUCGUAGUGAAGCCUCAUGAUGAGGAGAGAGACAUUCUGCGAGGCAUCCCACUUACAGCUUUAUGAGUCAAGGCUUGAACUGAGCUUACAUUCUUUGUGCUCACACCACCCUCAGUGACAGUCUGGGGCAUGUAGGAAAUAUUGAAUCACCUACAGAAGCCCCUCUGCACCAGUGCAGCAUAGCUAAGGUGCCAUGGGUAUUUGGGAAGAGUUUCAGGCUGGAGGAGGAAUAGAGUUGGGGAGCAGCCACAAUAUAGAGGAUGCUCCUCUGGGAACAGGAAUUGAUCCACAUAUAUUGAUCCUGGUUGGGCUGAUGGCAGCUUGGCAUAUCCACCACUUGCUGUGCUUCUGGGAGGCACAGAAGGGCAAUUUCUUGGGGUACUUGAUUGGUGACUUUGAAAAUUGAGCCCUGAAUCUCCAACAGCUUCCUUCUGGGAUCAUAGACUCAGAAAAGUCAGGCUGGCAGGGCCCUCAGGAGGUCAUGUAGUGCAGCCUCUGCUCAAGACAGAAUCACCCCUGUCUAAACCACUUCACUCAUGUGUUUGUCCAAACUGCUCUUGGAAGCUUCCAAGGAUGGGGAUUUCAAAACCUCUUUGUUCCAGCGCAUCUCCCGCCUCAUAGGGAUUUUACAAGUGCCAAUCUUGCUGCUUGCCUAAUGGUGACAUCGUAGCCUCUUCAGGGGGGUGUUGGGCAGCCUUGUGGAGUAUUCAGAAUCAGCAUGCCCUUUCCAUUAAUUGUUUUCCUGCAUGAAGGGAAGCAUCUGGGACCAGGCAUGGUGCCUCUCAAGACUGAUUUGUUAUCAUGCCACACCAUUAUAUCUGGUUCGAUCAUGGGAAUAUGCUAGAAAUAUAGAAUGUUGUGCUCGCUCACAUGAUGAGUUUAGUGAAAAAUAGAAACCAGCAUGGCACCGAAAACACUGCACCAAAUGUUGCACUCUGUUUCUAAUCCUGCGAUCACUAAAUUCAGAAGGGGAGAAACGACCUCAUGGAAAACAAAAGGUUAAUUUACUUAUGAGCAGUCAAUGAGGGGAGUGCUGUGUCCAUCUUUUCAACACAGCUGGAUAAUUUUAUGAUCAUCAAUAACAUUUGGAGCUAUAAUGGUAUGGACAUAAUUAAAUUUUGUGCUUCGAUGCAUCAUCCGAUUCCCUGCUAGAAAGAAUUCCCCUAUGCAUUUGACUCCUGUUCGCUGUACUCAGUAUUGCACAUGCUUGAUAUUUUUUAUUCCACCUUCUUUGGAUACAUUUCAUAUCAGCCAAUGCCACAAACCACACUAUGGAUUGGGUGUUGGGUCCUGAACAGCAACAUGUAUACAGUCUGUGUUUGUUCUUUUCUAUAUGCAGACUCACAUAAAUAAAAUUAUGCAGUAUAAACCCACGUGGUAUAAAACACCUUCCAUCAGUUUAACUGAUCUAGGAGCCUCUAUGCAAAAAUUGUACCUACUGAAAACAUGUUUUAACAGAAUCACUCUGUCACUUAAACCAUUACAACGUGUGCGGGUCACGUCUUACCCAAACAAAACAAGAAAAUAAUUUGGACCUAAAUGUAGAACUACUUUAAAAGCCGUCAAAAUGCCUAGCAAUGCCAGUUAUGUUUAUAAAAGCACUAAACUUUCGUAGGAAAUCUCUAACUGGUAACUCAAGCAAACUAUGGGAGCAUUGGCAUAGACGGUACAAAGAUGUUGUCACUACCAUGUUGUGCAGAUUUCCCAAUGUAGGGAAAUAAUGCUUUCUUUGAUCAAUUGGGGUAGUUGAACUCGAUGAGAAAUCCUCACCUAAUACAGUGGGUGAAUUUCUGGCCUUUGUAAAGCCAAUAGCUACUUUGCCGUCAACGUCAGUGGGACCAAGGCUUCACUCACUGGCUUGACAUUCAAGGGUACAGAGUUUCUAUUGAGCAGAACUAAUUCAGCUGAGUGAACUCAGCUAAGGAAAUACCGUUUGUCCUUGUUGGUGCCUGCCUUGUCCCCACUGCUGCUCUGUCCCCACUAGCACCUCCACCACUGCUGUUGCAGUGUUAGCAGGAUGCUACGGGACUUCCCAGAAGAAUCAGUGCCGCAGACCCCCCAUAGAAUGGAAAGGGCAGUUGUCAAUGCCUGAAACACUUCGGCACGUUUCAGUAAAGAGUCUUUCCUUUCAAGAAGCCUCUCUCCCUUUUUAGUGAAGCUUCAUUCACCAUAAAGGGAAUCCACUGUGCCAGCCAAGCAAGCACAUAGAGCGUGCUGCAUUCCCAGGGCAAUAAUUUGGCAGAGCAAAAGAGAAGAGAGACAUACUGCUACUUCAGGUGGAGAGGAGUAAGGAGAAAUGCCUGGGGCAUGGUUGCAGUACAGUUGCUCUUAGAUGUCUUAUAAAGAGGGGGUGUUCCCUGACAGGAGGGGGAAGAAAUGCCUAUAAAGGAGCCUCCUCACUGCCAGCUCCUGGUCCUUACACACUGGCAUUCAGGUUUUGCCUACAGUUGCAAAUUGUUUCAGGUUACGGUAAAGUGUGAAUCAAAGUGCAAAAGCAAUUCCCAAAUAACUCUAGGGAAGGAAAGCCUUUAGUAGCAUUUUCCUAGUCCCUUUUAGCAGGUGUUAAUUGAUUUUUAAGAGGUUUUAGGGGGCAGAGACACCUGCCCCCUAAAAUGCUUGUGUUUUAGCCUAGGACUGGGAAGCCUGACCCCUAUCCUGCCAAUGACAUUAAAUAACAUGCGUUAUGUUAGUCCCUCUCUGGUUACAAUUAAGCUCUUUAUAGGAUGUAAUCUACCUCUCUGCAGAGGGCCAACACAUGGAUCAACCUCUGUGUUGAGGAUUUAAGUAGGAUUUUAGUGGUCCAAAGGCCAACCGGUAAUCCCCCCCAUACCAGAGACUCUCACCCUGUGUUGAUUUCCCUCUUGCUGGAAGAGCCUGCCAUUGUGCCAUGAAAAGUUUUUAAACUUUUCUUUAGUUUCUAGCUCUUACAUGUUAGCUGAAAACUGCUUAUCUGUAUCUCUUCAACAGGAGAUUUAGUUAUCUGUGAAGGUCAGAAUUAGAUGCCGUCAUGUCAGCAGGAUGCAACACACCUGCAGUGCCUUUCUGUGCAGCACUCUGCCCUCUUGUCAUGGAACUUAAUCCACCUUUGUCGCUUUUACCAGCCUCCCUUUAAGUGACUGUGGUGUUAUUUUUCCCCUUAGUAGCAUGUAGGUCACCAGACAGCCUUAGGGACCCACCAGCUGACACACAUCCUCCAUUUUGAAUCUGUGCAUCAAGCUUUCUGGAGGGAAUAAAAGUGCAGUUGCUACUGAGACUCCCUCCAUUUUGCAGGGCUGUAGUUUGAUGGGGUUUUUCCCAGCAUAGUUCUGCUGCUGGUGUUAUUUUAAAAAAAUCCCAAAUAGGGAAGGAAAAAAAAUAAACUUCAGGAAGGCUCCACCUCCUAGUUUGGAGUGGUUCAGUUGAAGUUUAAUGGGCCCAUGUUCUGCCAUGGAAAAGUGAGUUAUGUUUUCAGUUGGACUUUUCUCUUUUCCUUCAUAGCUAUAACUUAACUAGCUCAUCGAUUCAUCAUCAUUAAUGUCAACUAUCAGGCUCAUACGGGGACUGUUGUUUGGUGCAUGAUGGUUGCUGAAGUAACUUGCUUCACAGCCAUUCGGUACAGAAGCACGGAGCCAGUCAAUGCUUAAGAGAGUGAUUUGGAAUAAAAUACAAUGCAGGACAUACGGAAUGUGCAUUAAACUGGUACAAGAUGACAUAAAUUUUGAGAGGGACAAUGGGAAAGUAACUGGGCUGAAGAACAAACAUGUCAUGGAGGGUUAGAGAGUUCUGUACAGUCUGUAAGUAUAGCCCUAAAAGGACAUGGUUUGCCAAUUGAAUGAAUAUGGAGAGGAACAUAAAAAAAAGGGACCUCCCAAACUUUACAGAAGUUCACACAAGGUCACAGCCCUCCCGUGUGAUUGGCAGGUACUUCCCAGAGUACAGGUGAAUAAAGACAUGUUUAUUAUCUAUGUUACCACACUCAUUUUCACAAGUGGCUUCUACCCUUUGGAGUCCCCCUGUUUAGUUGUCCAGCUGGAAGCAUCUAGGGUUGGCUUGUUAGAAGUGUGGAACACAGUGUAGUCCAGGCACCCAAGAAAAAUGGAGGCAAUAAACGUUAAAGGCCCAUUUUUUAAAAUUUGGACCACAAGGAACUUAUUACUGGUUAUGCGGUGAGUUGGUGAGAGAACCGGGAACAAAAUCCACCAGGCCAGCUUCUCCCUCUAAGGCAGCACUCCUUUGAUGUUCUUCAGACUGUCAUAGGAAUAGAGAAGUAACUUAGCGCUGUUGGGUGAAAGAGAAGUCAUAGUGAAAGGGAAGAUCCCGUUGAUUUGUUUCCUGUCCAAAUGCUGGAAGUAGACUAUCCACAACAAUUAGAAAUGCCCCGCCACUGCCCCUGAGAAGGGUUUAAGGAGAGAUGCAAUGCAAUGCUUUCUGUGCUCUCUGGUUGGGAUGUAGCAUCUGCUGAAGCAUAGCCUGAUGUUAUGGGCUUUCUGAAGUGUUGUCAUUGUGCUGCAUCAAUUCCCCUCCAUGACACAAAAGACCUUCCAGGAUGGGGACGCUGGGGAGUGGUGGGAUGCAUUAACCAUUGCUGUGCAGCUAAUAAUGUCCCUGGGCUAAAUCCAAGGAGGGUUCAUCUAGGUCUGAGAGCUUGUACAUGGAGCUGGAGGAACUUUAGUCUCUGCAUGCUGACUUCACACUUGUCAUUUAUUUUGGCUCCUUUUGGAGUGUCCUUGUGUUGUCCAGCCCUCAGGUUACCUCUGCUCUGCAGGAGGAGAGUUUCUAAAUGUGGGUUGGCUCAUGUGGGUUAACACAGCAGUUGCAGCAAGGUUGAUGGGCUAUUGCUAUGCUACACCUGCCCUCUGUCUGCUGGCAGUAGGGGUUUGUGUGCCUCCAGAGGUAUACCAGCUUCCCUGAGCAACAGAAGCUGCCUCCCAGCUGAGGUUUGCUGGGAAAGCUACGCCAGCUUGACAGGGUGAGCUUUGUCAAGCCCUGGCCACCCUAGCUCUGAGGCAGAGCUGUGUAGUAUAGAAUAAGCUGUGGACUCGAACUGGAGCCAGAAGUUUGCAUUCUACCAUGGGCUUCUUGUAGCCUUGACUGGGCUGCUAACCCCGAGUUAUUUUGUCUUUGCAACUCUUUUAACCUGAACUGAGAACACUCUUUGUUGCAGCGUAGACAUGAUGUGCCAGUUAGACAACAUCGUUUCCCCAGGGGACUUUCUCUGUGGCUUGCUUGCAUUGCAGAAACAAUGUGGAGCCUUUCUAGCUUCUUUGCCCUUCUCUCUGGUACCCGAUUGCUCCUUGUCCUCCAUGCUGCCACGGUUUCUAGCUCCUCAGUGCCUGGCUUGCAUCUCCUGACAUCUGCCUUGCUAUGCUAAUGGUUUCCACAGUUAGAAGAGCCCCUCAUCUGCUCUGAACAGACGCUGGGUAUAAAAGGUGCAAUGACUCAUCACUCAGCCAGGCGCACACUGAUUUUCCAAAUACGCUUAUCUGCCUCCUGCUGAACCUCACGGCAAGCGGAGCUUAGAGAUUUGUGCUUUACACUUAGAAUACCUGCACUUUCCCAGCACUGCAAGGUGCAUAUCUCUGGACGGGUCAACAGUGGCCCUUCUCCUCCUGAAAUAUUUGGUAAAAAGGAGCGGCGUGCCAGCUCAGCUGGUGGGAACUUUCACAUAAGAUUAACUCCCAAUGCGUGCAACCUGCCCACUUCAGGUAGACUUUAAAGAUGCCACAUUAUGUUUUAACUAGGAAGAGGUGUCACUAGCUGGUUGCUACAGUGUUAUACUGGGUGGUCCCAGAAAUGGCUGUGUGGGGAUAGUGCGUGCAAUGCUUUGGGAUAAGAGCUACUAAAUGUCAAAUAUGUUUAUAACAAAGGUUGGAUUUUAUUUGCCCUGGUGCAUAUUGCAGCCACUCGCUACUCAGUUAUUUAGCUGGCUCGGCCCAUCCUCAGUGGCUGCGUGUCUCCAGCCCUAACAAGAAUUUUGUUGAUGUCAGAGGCAGGCAAGUAAGUGAAGGAAUGUUCCCAGGGAACUGCAAUACAGCAAGCGCUAGUCAUAAAAUUUGCAUGAGAAAGAGGUGAUGAAGAAAUCAAAUCUAAAGGCAGAAUGGAGUCACUUAGUGAAACUAUAAGAGCUCGGGUGUUCUUUGCUGUGUCUUAAACUGGGACAAUAGGAGAGGACUGUAAUAAUUGGUAGGGUGCGUGCAGCCAGAAUAACAAGAGCACACCCAUUCUCUCAAGCCCUAGAAGAGCUGACCAAGCCACCAGCCCACUGCUGUUUGCCCCAGUUGUGAGUGCUUUAGCAGCACAACUCGAUAAACACAAACACCAGAGUGUGGGAUGGACAUUUGCAAUUGAAAUUUCUCUUUUUUUACAUCAAUAUUAUCACAUGCUGGAAGUUGACCUUCAGAUCGAUGGGUAUCUGGGACACUGCAGGCAUUGCUUAUCUGCAGAGCAGGUGGGGCUCGAAAGAAGGCCGUUUAAUAUUUCUCUUUGCUACACCCUGACUUCAUCCGAUGAAGACAUUCAGUGCUGGGUCAUUAAGUGAUUGUUUAUGCCUUGCUCUUCUCUUUCCCUUGCUUUGAUGAUGAUUUUUGUUGAUAAUGUUGAAACUAGCACAGCCUGGAAAGGAUGAAAAACGGCUGUAUCAAAACUUGCUGGAUGUAUAUUUUUAUUGUAACAUCAACUUUUGUACAGGA